This 468-nucleotide ribosomal RNA is filed under the name uncultured bacterium. Its description in RNAcentral is "partial 16S ribosomal RNA". It matches the Rfam family "Bacterial small subunit ribosomal RNA", at positions 28 to 507 of the family's 1533-position model. The record is from RNAcentral.
GACGAACGCUGGCGGCGUGCUUAACACAUGCAAGUCGAACGGACAGGCCCUGCUUUUGUGGGGUGCUCGAGUGGCGGACGGGUGAGUAACACGUGAGUAACCUGCCCUUGACUUUGGGAUAACUUCAGGAAACUGGGGCUCAUACCGGAUAGGAUCUCCUGCUGCAUGGUGGGGGUUGGAAAGUUUCGGCGGUUGGGGCUGGACUCGCGGCUUAUCGGCUUGUUUGGGGGGUAGUUGCUUACCAAGGCUUUGACGGGUAGCCGGCCUGAGAGGGUGGCCGGCGACAAUGGGACUGAGAGACGCACCAGACGGGUACGGGAGGCAGCAGGGGGGAAUAUGGCACAACGGGGGGAAGCCAGAUGCGACAGCGCCGCGUGCGGGAUGAUGGCCUACGGGUUGUAAACCGCUUUCGCCGGUGACGAAGCGUGAGUGACGGUAAUGGGUAAAGAAGCACCGGCUAACUACGUG